Molecule: ribosomal RNA, 299 nt
Filed under: uncultured bacterium
Lineage: Bacteria
Description: partial 16S ribosomal RNA
Rfam family: Bacterial small subunit ribosomal RNA
Source: RNAcentral
CUAUGCGCCUUGCCAGCCCGCUCAGGUGUGCCAGCAGCCGCGGUAAUACGUAGGUGGCAAGCGUUGUCCGGAUUUACUGGGUGUAAAGGGCGUGUAGCCGGGCUGACAAGUCAGAUGUGAAAUCCGGGGGCUCAACCCCCGAACUGCAUUUGAAACUGUUGGUCUUGAGUAUCGGAGAGGCAGGCGGAAUUCCUAGUGUAGCGGUGAAAUGCGUAGAUAUUAGGAGGAACACCAGUGGCGAAGGCGGCCUGCUGGACUGCAACUGACGUUGAGGCUCGAAGGCGUGGGGAGCAAACAGG